AGUGAACGCUGGCGGUAGGCCUAACACAUGCAAGUCGAACGGCAGCACAGUAAGAGCUUGCCCUUACGGGUGGCGAGUGGCGGACGGGUGAGGAAUACAUCGGCAUCUACUUUUUCGUGGGGGAUAACGUAGGGAAACUUACGCUAAUACCGCAUACGACCUACGGGUGAAAGCAAGGGAUCUUCGGACCUUGCGCGAUUGAAUGAGCCGAUGUCGGAUUAGCUAGUUGGCGGGGUAAAGGCCCACCAAGGCGACGAUCCGUAGCUGGUCUGAGAGGAUGAUCAGCCACACUGGAACUGAGACACGGUCCAGACUCCUACGGGAGGCAGCAGUGGGGAAUAUUGCGCAAUGGGCGCAAGCCUGACCCAGCCAUACCGCGUGAGUGAAGAAGGCCUUCGGGUUGUAAAGCCCUUUUGUUGGGAAAGAAAAGCAGCAGGUUUAUACCCCGCUGUUCUGACGGUACCCAAAGAAUAAGCACCGGCUAACUUCGUG
RNAcentral lists this ribosomal RNA (492 nucleotides) under uncultured bacterium. RNAcentral describes it as "partial 16S ribosomal RNA". It matches the Rfam family "Bacterial small subunit ribosomal RNA", at positions 29 to 507 of the family's 1533-position model. The record is from RNAcentral.